GGGCCCGCACAAGCGGAGGAGCAUGUGGUUUAAUUCGAUGAUACGCGAGGAACCUUACCCGGGCUUGAACGUAAGACCGAUGUCCAGGAGACUGGGCAGCCUACGGGGGUUUUGCGAGGUGCUGCAUGGUUGUCGUCAGCUCGUGCCGUGAGGUGUUAGGUUAAGUCCUGCAACGAGCGCAACCCUUACACGUAGUUGCCAGCACGUAAAGGUGGGGACUCUACGGGAACUGCCUGCGCAAGCAGAGAGGAAGGUGGGGAUGACGUCAAAUCAGCACGGCCCUUAUGUCCGGGGCUACACACGUGCUACAAUGGCGCACACAGAGGGCAGCGACCCUGCGAGGGGGAGCCAAUCCAUGAAAGUGCGUCUCAGUUCGGAUUGGGGUCUGUAACCCGACCCUAUGAAGUUGGAUUCGCUAGUAAUCGCGCAUCAGCCAUGGCGCGGUGAAUACGUUCCCGGGCCUU
RNAcentral lists this ribosomal RNA (464 nucleotides) under uncultured bacterium. RNAcentral's name for it is "bacterial SSU rRNA". It matches the Rfam family "Bacterial small subunit ribosomal RNA", at positions 917 to 1382 of the family's 1533-position model. The record is from RNAcentral.